Camellia sinensis is the source of this 223-nucleotide non-coding RNA. Lineage: Eukaryota; Viridiplantae; Streptophyta; Magnoliopsida; Ericales; Theaceae. The record is from RefSeq and is a predicted model, not a curated record.
CCAAGUGGAUAGAUCUUAUUGAUAAAAAGUGGAACACUAAAGAAUUUCUGGAACAAUCAAAGGCCAACAUUGCGAACAGAGAAAUGAUGUAUACAAAACAUAGGUGUGGUUCUAGGUCAAUCCCUGUUAGAGUAGAAAAACUGGCACGAGAAAAGAAGAUGCUACCUGAUCUAGCAAAGUUGUACAAGGAAACUCACUAUGAUGAGAAAACACAUGAGUGGAU